RNAcentral lists this unclassified non-coding RNA (324 nucleotides) under soil metagenome. RNAcentral describes it as "partial contains 5.8S ribosomal RNA, internal transcribed spacer 2, and large subunit ribosomal RNA". The stretch from base 1 to 120 matches the Rfam family "5.8S ribosomal RNA", at positions 35 to 154 of the family's 154-position model. The record is from RNAcentral.
GAUGAAGAACGUAGUGAAAUGCGAUAAGUAGUGUGAAUUGCAGAAUUCAGUGAAUCAUCGAAUCUUUGAACGCACAUUGCGCCCCUUGGUAUUCCAUGGGGCAUGCCUGUUCGAGCGUCAUUUGUACCUUCAAGCUUUGCUUGGUGUUGGGUGUUUGUCCUGAGGGACUCGCCUUAAAGUAAUUGGCAGCCAGUGUUUUGGUUUUGAAGCGCAGCACAAGUCGCGAUUCAAAGCUAUACGCCAGCUUCCACAAGCCUUUUUCACUUUUGACCUCGGAUCAGGUAGGGAUACCCGCUGAACUUAAGCAUAUCAAUAAGCGGAGGA